UACCAGCACCCCGAGUGGUCGGGACGAUUAUUGGGCCUAAAGCAUCCGUAGCCGGCCUUACAAGUCUUCCGUUAAAUCCACCUGCUUAACAGAUGGGCUGCGGAGGAUACUAUAGAGCUAGGAGGCGGGAGAGGCAAGCGGUACUUAGUGGGUAGGGGUAAAAUCCGUUGAUCCAUUGAAGACCACCAGUGGCGAAGGCGGCUUGCCAGAACGCACUCGACGGUGAGGGAUGAAAGCUGGGGGAGCAAACCGG
RNAcentral lists this ribosomal RNA (253 nucleotides) under uncultured bacterium. RNAcentral's name for it is "partial 16S ribosomal RNA". It matches the Rfam family "Archaeal small subunit ribosomal RNA", at positions 474 to 727 of the family's 1478-position model. The record is from RNAcentral.